AUGGUAGAAGAUCAGCGCCCCAACGCCCAAGGAUAUGCUAGAGACCUGCAUGUGAAUGCCCAAGAAGCACAGGAGGCUAGAACUAGUGCGUGUGCUUUUCCUGCACCUUCCGCUGCUAGUUGGCUCCCUCCACAAGAGAGUGAUGCAAAAUUGAAUGUGGAUGGCGGCAUAUCCAGGAAAGGCGAUCGAGGGGCUGAAGCUGUUAUAUGCCGAGACAAGACUGGCCAGUACUUGGGGGCUUCGGCGAUGGUUUUCGACGGUCUCGUCGACCCGGCGACUCUUGAAGCCCGAGCGUGCAGUGAAGCACUGGCGCUAGCAUCAGACCUAAACCUCUAG
RNAcentral lists this ribosomal RNA (336 nucleotides) under Triticum aestivum (bread wheat). RNAcentral's name for it is "partial small subunit ribosomal RNA". Lineage: Eukaryota; Viridiplantae; Streptophyta; Magnoliopsida; Poales; Poaceae. The record is from RNAcentral.